CUUUUAACUGAGCACGUAUCGGACAAGGGNCGCCCGGGACCCGGUCCUCUCCUUUAACUAGGAAACUUCUAAGGUUGACCUCGGAUCAGGUAGGAAUACGCGCUGAACUUAAGCAUAUCAAUAAGCGCAGGAAAAGAAACCAACAGGGAUUACCUCAGUAACGGCGAGUGAAGCGGUAAUAGCUCAAAUUUGAAAUCUGGCCUCUCGGGGUCCGAGUUGUAAUUUGUAGAGGAUGUUUUGGGUACCGCCCCGGUCUAAAUUUCUUGGAACAGAAUGUCAAAGAGGGUGAGAAUCCCGUCUUGGACCGGCGGUAGGGCCUGUGUAAAACUCCUUCGACGAGUCGAGUUGUUUGGGAAUGCAGCUCAAAAUGGGUGGUAAAUUUCAUCUAAAGCUAAAUAUUGGCCAGAGACCGAUAGCGCACAAGUAGAGUGAUCGAAAGAUGAAAAGCACUUUGAAAAGAGAGUUAAACAGUAUGUGAAAUUGUUGAAAGGGAAGCGCUUGCAACCAGACUUGAGCGCGGCGGUUCCCCCGGUCUUUUGGCCGGGCUACUCCGUCGUGUCCAGGCCAACAUCGGUUCUGAGGGUCGGUCAAAGCCCUUGGGAAUGUAUCUA
Molecule: ribosomal RNA, 611 nt
Filed under: uncultured Cladophialophora
Lineage: Eukaryota; Fungi; Ascomycota; Eurotiomycetes; Chaetothyriales; Herpotrichiellaceae
Description: eukaryotic LSU rRNA
Rfam family: Eukaryotic large subunit ribosomal RNA (bases 76-611)
Source: RNAcentral